This 538-nucleotide ribosomal RNA is filed under the name uncultured bacterium. RNAcentral's name for it is "bacterial SSU rRNA". It matches the Rfam family "Bacterial small subunit ribosomal RNA", at positions 39 to 568 of the family's 1533-position model. The record is from RNAcentral.
GCGGCGGCUUACACAUGCAAGUCGAGGGGUAGCAGGUUUAAAUUUCGGUUUAAAUGCUGACGACCGGCGCACGGGUGCGUAACGCGUAUACAAUCUACCUUAUACUGGAGGAUAGCCCUAAGAAAUUGGGAUUAAUACUCCAUAAUAUUAUUGAUCCGCAUGGAUUGAUUAUUAAAGCUACGGCGGUAUAAGAUGAGUAUGCGUCUGAUUAGCUAGUUGGUGAGGUAACGGCUCACCAAGGCUACGAUCAGUAGGGGGCCUGAGAGGGUUAUCCCCCACACUGGUACUGAGACACGGACCAGACUCCUACGGGAGGCAGCAGUGAGGAAUAUUGGUCAAUGGGCGCAAGCCUGAACCAGCCAUGCCGCGUGAAGGAAGAAUGUCCUAUGGAUUGUAAACUUCUUUUAUUUGGGAAGAAACCCCUCUACGUGUAGAGGUCUGACAGUACCAAAGGAAUAAGGACCGGCUAACUCCGUGCCAGCAGCCGCGGUAAUACGGAGGGUCCAAGCGUUAUCCGGAAUCAUUGGGUUUAAAGGGU